This 492-nucleotide ribosomal RNA is filed under the name uncultured bacterium. RNAcentral's name for it is "partial 16S ribosomal RNA". It matches the Rfam family "Bacterial small subunit ribosomal RNA", at positions 29 to 507 of the family's 1533-position model. The record is from RNAcentral.
AGUGAACGCUGGCGGUAGGCCUAACACAUGCAAGUCGAACGGCAGCACAGUAAGAGCUUGCUCUUACGGGUGGCGAGUGGCGGACGGGUGAGGAAUACAUCGGAAUCUACUUUUUCGUGGGGGAUAACGUAGGGAAACUUACGCUAAUACCGCAUACGACCUACGGGUGAAAGCAGGGGAUCUUCGGACCUUGCGCGAUUGAAUGAGCCGAUGUCGGAUUUGCUAGUUGGCGGGGUAAAGGCCCACCAAGGCGACGAUCCGUAGCUGGUCUGAGAGGACGAUCAGCCACACUGGAACUGAGACACGGUCCAGACUCCUACGGGAGGCAGCAGUGGGGAAUAUUGGACAAAGGGCGCAAGCCUGAUCCAGCCAUACCGCGUGUGUGAAGAAGGCCUUCGGGUUGUAAAGCCCUUUUGUUGGGAAAGAAAAGCAGCAGGUUAAUACCCCGCUGUUCUGACGGUACCCAAAGAAUAAGCACCGGCUAACUUCGUG